UCUGGUGAUUAUAGCUAAGGGGAAACACCUCUUUCCAUUCCGAACAGAGAAGUUAAGACCUUAAACGCCGAUGGUACUGCAUUUUUAAGUGUGGGAGAGUAGGUAGUCGCCAGAU
Molecule: ribosomal RNA, 115 nt
Filed under: Gammaproteobacteria bacterium
Lineage: Bacteria; Pseudomonadati; Pseudomonadota; Gammaproteobacteria
Source: RNAcentral